RNAcentral lists this ribosomal RNA (231 nucleotides) under uncultured bacterium. RNAcentral's name for it is "partial 16S ribosomal RNA". It matches the Rfam family "Bacterial small subunit ribosomal RNA", at positions 118 to 347 of the family's 1533-position model. The record is from RNAcentral.
UGGGCAACCUGCCCCUCUCUCUGGGAUAACCCCGGGAAACCGGAGCUAAUACCGGAUACUCCGGCUGGAUCGCAUGGUCCGGCCGGGAAAGGUCCGCCGGAGAGGGAUGGGCCCGCGGCCUAUCAGCUUGUUGGUGGGGUCAUGGCUCACCAAGGCGACGACGGGUAGCUGGUCUGAGAGGACGACCAGCCACACUGGAACUGAGAUACGGCCCAGACUCCUACGGGAGCA